This 1349-nucleotide long non-coding RNA is filed under the name Cyanistes caeruleus (blue tit). RNAcentral's name for it is "lncRNA (ENSCCEG00000002312.1)". Lineage: Eukaryota; Metazoa; Chordata; Aves; Passeriformes; Paridae. The record is from RNAcentral.
AGACUUAUGGAAGCCUGUUGCACUUCUCUUGACUGUGAGCAUUUAAUAGUUUCUUCUCUGCACUUAAUUCCAACAGUCAAUAUAGUCUGAGAGCACAGCACCAGGUCUGUGAAGUCCAUCCAUUUUACAAAUGUUGACUACAACAGGCACAGUAUACCAGCCUUUAAAUUAUAGCCAAUAGAAGCACUGGGACUGCUGCAUUAUUAAGGUCUGCCAAUUAAGUUCCGUAACUUACUAUUAACAAUGCACUAACUUAGAGGAAGAAAAGCUUCCUCACAGUACUCUGGAUAAGAUUAUAUGCAAUCCUUGUUCUUUUGGAGGGGAGGAGAAGGUAACACUUGUCUUGACACUAGGAUAACAAUGAGGCCUGAAAUGCCUUUACUUGGAACUUACUGAUCUUAUGAAAAACCACAGCUGGACUAUGUACAUUCUUAGGUCAGUUACUCCUUAGUCUUAUCUCCCUUGUCCCUCUUUCACACUUUUUCUUCCCAUUGUUACUUCUUUUCUCUACAUCUAAAGAUGUCUCAUUCUCAGAAUAAUUGAUUUUGGUGGACUUGUAUCAUCUACAUGGACCAUGUACAAGAGAGCUGCUCCAGUACAACUCUGCCCCUUCUCUUUGCCCCUGCUCCCCUUGUCAGCCUCUGCAGCAAGCACUGUGCUUUCAGAUCUUAAGGUUUCAGGGUGCUUCAGAGAGCAUCAUAGUAAAGAAGUUAACUUCUCCCUGAGUAUGUAUCUGUGUGUCUCCAAAUCUUGAGAGUCAUAAACUUCACAGAAGAGUGACAGCAGUGCAGGCAGCAAGGAUACCCCAGCAGUCCAGCCCCUGCAGAUGGUUCCACACUGCUGCUGCAUCAGAGCCAGAGGUGUGCUGAGCACAGCAGGAGAAGAUGAAGAUUCAGCACCUUCAGGAGAGCCAGGAAGGGGCUUCAGAACCCUCUCAAGUGGGAAAAGGGUACAGCCAUCACUGUCCUGAUUUCUAAAGGGCAUAUUCCCUGCUUUUCAGUAUCGCAGGGCCUGCCUAAGCCUGCAUACCUUCCCUCUUCAAACAUUGGAUGUAAUUCAUUAAGCAACUUUAGCAAGAGCCUAUUAAGCAUGUAAAAGAAAUGUAUUUCUGUGAUUGAAAGAUCUUGCUAAGUUACACUUCUGUAAGAUCAAUCAAAAGCCUGAAAUAGGAUGUCAUGUAGAACUAAUGGUAGUUGCACAAAAUCUAGAAGGAAAAGACACUGAAAGAGGCAAGCACAGCAACAUGAAACUGCUGAUUUCUGCUUUAGGGACUUAUUCAAAACAUUGAAAUGAGAGAGGGUAGAUUUGCCAUCAUUAUACUGGAAGAAUAAAGAAUGCUUUAAGGUUCA